GGCGGCAGGGGUACGCUGAUGGCUGCCCUGGGGGACGUCGUCCUGGAUGGUUACCUGUACCCGGCGUGCGCCCUCUACUCGUACCGGUGCCUCUACCCGGCCGCCGCCGCUAAGGGAAAAAGCGGGGCGGACGAGGGUGGCUGGCGACCCCGGGGCGGGGGCUACCCUCCCGUUUCCUCCUCCUCUGACGGCGCGGCCUCGUCGUCGUUCCCCGGCCACGGGCAGCUGGCGGCCGCCGAGUACGUCCACAGCUACCACCGCGCGCAGCUCAUGGCCCUGCUGUCGCAGGUGGGCCCCCGCCGGGUCAGCACUCGGGAUGCGGCGGUGCAGGUGAACCCGUGCCGCGACGUAUCGGUGCAGUGCUCGCUGGGGCGGCGGACGCUGGGGCGCAGGGCCCGCGAGUUCGGUCCGAGUCCGGAUCCCGAGGGCGCGGCGGACGCGGGCGGCAGCUGCCCGGCCUCCCCGCAGCGCGCCAGCAAGGGCCGGGAGCAGGACAGCCCGCCGAGCCGCGCCCCGCGGCGCGUGCGUUUCCUGCGCACCUUGGCCGUGUACUCGCCCGUGACCUCCCGCUGCCUAGCCACCCUCCUGGAGGGGGCUGAGGCCGCGGCGGGCCAGCAGAGGCCCGGGGAGCCGGAGGCUGAGCGAGAGCCGCCACCUGCGAGGCCCCGAGGCCCCGAGGCGGGAGACGGGUCGGCGAGCAAGGUGUCCCAGCGGCUGCAGCCUGAGGAGGACGAGGCCCAGGCCGCAGUACCGGCGAGCCGCGAGCAGCCCCCGCCCGUUGCCAAGGUCCCGGACGCCGCUGGCGAGAGAUCGUCGCCCCGGAGCCCCCAGCUGGGCAAAGAGCGCCUGCGCUUCCAGUUCUUAGAGCAGAAGUAUGGCUACUAUCACUGCAAGGACUGCAAUAUCCGCUGGGAAAGUGCCUAUGUGUGGUGUGUACAAGGCACUAACAAGGUUUACUAUAAGCAGUUUUGCCGAACAUGCCAGAAGUCUUAUAACCCUUACCGAGUGGAGGAUAUCACCUGCCAAAACUGUAAACAGACUAGAUGCUCCUGCCCAGUGAAACUUCGCCAUGUGGACCCCAAAAGGCCCCACCGUCAAGAUUUGUGUGGGAGAUGCAAAGGCAAACGCCUAUCCUGUGACAGCACUUUCAGUUUCAAAUAUAUCAUUUAAGUGAAUGGGGGGGAAAACCACCCCCCAAAACCGUGGUCCCGCUGAAUGUGUGCUGGUGGCGCAGACAAAUUAUGCUGGUGGAUAAGCAGUUCUUGGAGACCAAAAGGAGGGAUGCUCGCUCUGGCUCUGAUGACAUAACAGUUUCUUUAUGACAGACCAGGAUUCGGAGUCAGCCUUUCAAGGAUUGGUUGUAGACACAGACUUUGAUCUCCACUUGAGCAGAAUCAUUUGUAUGCGACAAACCCAAGCAGAGGAUGCUGUCUACGUGGCAACGUGUACACACUGGGGACAGUUUAUUAAUGGAAACACAAUCAGCUGUCUUCUAUUCCAGAGACUUGUGGUGCUCCAUUUCAGUAAAGAAUACUCAUUUUUGUAGAUUUUACUGGAAAUCUUCACAGCCUAUACUUGACCUGUGUCUAAUGUAAGAUGGAGAAAUGAAAAGUGGGCUUCCCCUCUUGUCAGUUUAAUAAAGGCAACUUAGAAUUAACCAGGUCUGUUUAUUUAUCAGAAGUGUAAUUCUCAGAAGAUGUGUGUCACUUUUAAUUAGUGAAGCAGAAACUAAAAUCCAUUUAAAAUCUUGUUUUUCCUUCCUUUUUGGACAGCAAUGUAUGAAUAAAUAUGUUAUCUCCAAAGAGAUACUGGUUGCAGAAGCCAAAUGUGAUUUUCCUUAUCCAGGGGCUAGUCCUAAAGAUGGAUAUUUAUUUAAGGUAACUUUUCCUUGGCCACAUAAAAAGAAAAUAACAGUACUGUGGUUUAGUGGGGAAAAACACUGGACUCAGAAUAUCUAAGCUGAAGUGAAAGCUAAGAGCCUUCAAGCUAAGCACUUAGGUUUUAACAGUUUGAUAUUAAUAAUCAAUUCUUUUGCCUUUCUGGCUCUUUCUUAUGUGACAGACUAAACAUGAUAAAAUUACAAUUAUAAUAUAUAAUAUUAUCAAAUAAUACGAAUUAUAUUUGAAAUUAUAUAUAUGAAACUAGGACAUUUUUCAUUAGGACUUUGAGAAAAACCACGAGCUACAUUGUUUAUUCUUUGAAAAUAUUUCAUUAUUAGACAUUUGAAAUUCUCAGUUGUAGCUUAACGGUCUACAUGCAGAGAAUGAAAAUUAGGUGUCUCGGUUGUUUCAAAACAGUCUCUUUGACCUUCAGUCCCUUUUAUCCCAGCCCCUCAGCCUGGCUGGGCCCUUAGGCUCUGUGCUUGACAGCAAGUCAGAAGAAAAACAUGUUAAGCUUCCGUAGCGAGAUAUAGCUGCUGGCAGCCACUGUCAAAAGCCAGUCAGCAGAUUUCUCUCUCAUCAGCUGACAUCUGUCAUGGAAUUUGUACAUGAAUGUCCGCUCACACAAAAUGUUAAGAGUCCCUAUUUGGUUCAUCAUCAUCAUCACAAGUCUAGCCCAAUGUGUCCAGUAUGCUGAUGAAAAAAAUUUUAAAUUGCUUAUUCUUACUAAAUAUAUUUUUUUACACUGUAUGCCUAUGAUAUGGCAUGGGGGGGGGGGCACUAUUCAACAUAAUUCUGGUUUGUAUUCUGCUACAAGACAAGCCCCAACCCUAUUGUGCUGUGGCUGCACACUGGCCUGAAAAGUACCGGCCUACACCUUCCCGGUCCGUGUAUUCAAAACACAAUAGACAGUCUGUGUACAGAAUAACCUCCAGUUCACAGGUUAAUCGGUCUUCCUAUCGUGAUGGAUUUUUUUUUUAAACUCAGGGCUCAAAUGUUAAAAAUUAACUGGAGAGGUUUGGCGUCUGGGUGUGAUGGAAGUAGCUUAUAUAAGGCCUGUCCUCGAAGGAUGACUGUGGAAGUUGAGUAAGAACUAGUUGAAAAAGAACUAGGAAGUCAAAAGAACUGAUAAUAUUAGUAAAUAUCAAACUGUCAUAUUUAGGGAGUUAAAAGUAUCAAGAGAGCCCUACUUUGAUUCCAGUGUUACUCUAGGGGAUUUGCUCAUUCCUGUCCAUGGGCUCAGAAGCUGAAGUAGUGGCCUACAGUUUCACUGGGCUGGGAAAGCAGGGCUGUCACAGGUAGUGAGGUCCUAAGGAUCAAGACCCUGGAGAAGAGGGAGCUGCAAAGGAGGCCGCCCAGUAGUCCGUGUGCACUCUCCCCUUGGCACAUUCGUUCCUGUGCUUAUCAUGUGCAGGAGAGGCUAAGAAAGCCAGCAGUGGCAUCUGGGAGGCUGAAAAGGUAAACAGCAGCUUUUUGGUCUUAUGGUGCUGGGGAGACAAAAACUGUUCGCUCCCAGCCCAGAGAGUGGGUCCUGAUGAAUACCCUAGGCUUUCACUUGUGAUUCUUAGAAGCCUCAAGGAAUAUACAAGAAUGUAUUGAUACAACUAAAAAACUAUUCAGUUCAGUCGCUCAGUCGUGUCCGACUCUUUGUGACCCUAUGAAUCGCAGCACGCCAGGCCUCCCUGUCCAUCACCAACUCCCGGAGUUCACUCAGACUCACGUCCAUCGAGUCAGUGAUGCCAUCCAGCCAAAAAACUAUUAGAUGGGCAAAAACUGAAUAAUGAAAAAUAGUUGUUUGAUAGAAAAGAAGAAAGGAAGCAGAGGAAGGGAUAGGAUAAAAAAUAGUGACAUGAUUGCUUAUGAUGCUUCAAGUUUUUCUGCCCCUGCCAGUUGAAAACAGCACACUGGAUUUGCCCCCAGCGAACAGAACUGCUGGCUGUGUUUCGCAGGGCCAGACUGGAGUUAGAGAAACGUUUGCAGGCAGUAUCUGUAGUCUACUACGUGCUCAUUUCUCCCUUUGCUUGCCCACGUACACAUAUACAUCACAGGAAGAAGAUCACCAGUUUGUCACAAGUGGCGGGCUUUCUGGACCACAAUAUCAUAUGCAUUGCUCAGGGAGAUACUGCUUUUAUAUUCCUACUUGCAAUGUUGACAGCAGCUAUUCAGUCUCCAGACAGAAGCUUUUUAUAAAGCGAAUUUUCCAUUGUGUUCUAAGACCCUCAGAAGGCCAGUUUCUAAAAGCUGAAGAUAGGAAUUAACUGGACAGGCAGCUCCAAGUUUCCCACCAUUCUCAGCAUAACCCUGAGGCAAGUAGUAAGAGGUCCUGGUUCCCUCUCGGCUAUUCUGCCAGGUUAGCAUGUCUAGUGUCACAAGUAACUACUUUUUUUUUUUUACAUUGUAAAA
This is an RNA transcript of Capra hircus (goat), 4283 nucleotides long. It is a transcript of the gene named zygote arrest 1, with no coding region annotated. The transcript is spliced from 7 exons. Lineage: Eukaryota; Metazoa; Chordata; Mammalia; Artiodactyla; Bovidae. The record is from RefSeq and is a predicted model, not a curated record.